CCGGAUUCUCGAUACAUGUGUCACAGAUUCGUCACCAGUUCACUGAGAUGGAAACGAUGUACAGAUCUGUCAACGAAACCAAGGCUCGAAUCUGUGAAUUGUUGACCAGCAGAAGAGUGCAAAACUGUUCCGAGAAUUGGAUCAGGAAUAAUGACCGGUGUUAUAACGUCUCCACGUUUCAAACAAAUUUCUCCAGAGCGAUAGAAGAAUGUUCAAG
Molecule: long non-coding RNA, 217 nt
Organism: Hypanus sabinus (Atlantic stingray)
Lineage: Eukaryota; Metazoa; Chordata; Chondrichthyes; Myliobatiformes; Dasyatidae
Exons: 3
Source: RefSeq, a predicted model, not a curated record